AUAUCAAGGGACAAAAUUUUCAGCUCACGCCGUUUGGCAGUGGAAGGCGAAUAUGUCCCGGCUUGCCUUUGGCUAUGAGGAUGUUGCACAUGAUGUUGGGAUCAUUACUAAUUUCUUUUGAUUGGAAGCUAGAAAAUGGUAUGAAACCUGAAGAAAUAGACAUGGAAGAUGCAAUACAAGGACUUGCCUUGAGAAAAUGUGAAUCCUUGAGAGUUAUUCCAACCAAAAUCAGUAAUUAAAUUCCCUACGUAGCAACUUGUAAUUCUUUUACGUGUAUUUCAAUAAAUGGCCUGUCAAGGAAAUUAGACAUAGCAGUGUGAGUAAACAUAGACAUGAUCAAUAAAUAAUAAUAAAAACUAGAUUCUGACCUGCGCGUUGAGCGGAUGUCUUGCAUUUUAUUGUAAGCAAAAUGAUUACAAUGUAUCGAUUCAUUUAAAAAUUGUAUGGUACAUGUGAUUUUUUUUAUAUAUAUAUUCAAAUGUAUGUAACGUGUAGAAGGAUAUUGAAAAAAAAAAUGCAAAUAAUGAAGAUGUGUUUUAGAAUAAAUCAGACAUGUAUCAUAAAUAAAUAAAUUUGUGAUUCCUCAAGAGAGGAAUAAAUUUAUAUAAAAAAAUUGUAUAUACUAAUAGCAUCUUAGAGUUGACCAAAUAUUCGGGUAUGCACCACCAUGUCAAACACUGUAAAAAAUGGCAAACAAAUGUGACAUUUAUCCGUUGUAGGUUACUUAUUUUUUGUUUGGAAUAACAGGAAUCUCGUGGUUCUCAUCUUGUGUAGCCGAAUAC
This 782-nucleotide long non-coding RNA is filed under the name Medicago truncatula (barrel medic). RNAcentral describes it as "long non-coding RNA (MTRU_LNC002718)". The record is from RNAcentral. Lineage: Eukaryota; Viridiplantae; Streptophyta; Magnoliopsida; Fabales; Fabaceae.